This 305-nucleotide ribosomal RNA is filed under the name uncultured bacterium. Its description in RNAcentral is "bacterial SSU rRNA". It matches the Rfam family "Bacterial small subunit ribosomal RNA", at positions 335 to 640 of the family's 1533-position model. The record is from RNAcentral.
UCCCUACGGGGCGCAGCAGUGGGGAAUAUUGCACAAUGGGGGAAACCCUGAUGCAGCGACGCCGCGUGAGUGAAGAAGUAUUUCGGUAUGUAAACCUCUUUUGCCGGGGAGCAAAAAGCGGUACGUGUACCGCAUCGAGAGUACCCGGAGAAAAAGCAUCGGCUAACUCCGUGCCAGCAGCCGCGGUAAUACGGAGGAUGCGAGCGUUAUCCGGAUUUAUUGGGUUUAAAGGGUGCGCAGGCGGCGAGUUAAGUCAGCGGUAAAAUUUCGGGGCUCAACCCCGACGAGCCGUUGAAACUGGCUUG